This 71-nucleotide transfer RNA is filed under the name Pessoaiella absita. RNAcentral describes it as "tRNA-Pro". The record is from RNAcentral. Lineage: Eukaryota; Metazoa; Arthropoda; Insecta; Psocodea; Philopteridae.
CAGAGGGUAGUUUAAGAAAUACAAAACUUUAGUUUUGGGGACUAAGAAAUCCUGUGUGUUGGAUUCUCUGA